This 375-nucleotide unclassified non-coding RNA is filed under the name soil metagenome. RNAcentral describes it as "partial contains 5.8S ribosomal RNA, internal transcribed spacer 2, and large subunit ribosomal RNA". The stretch from base 1 to 120 matches the Rfam family "5.8S ribosomal RNA", at positions 35 to 154 of the family's 154-position model. The record is from RNAcentral.
GAUGAAGAACGUAGUGAAAUGCGAUAAGUAAUGUGAAUUGCAGAAUUCAGUGAAUCAUCGAAUCUUUGAACGCACAUUGCGCCCGUCAGUAUUCUGGCGGGCAUGCCUGUUCGAGCGUCAUUUCAACCCUCAAGACCCCUUCGGGGGACUUGGUGUUGGGGACCGGCACAGGGGCCUGCCUGCUUGUCUUGCAGCGCCCUCGCCGCCCCCGAAAUGAAUUGGCGGCCUCGUCGCGGCCUCCCCUGCGUAGUAGCACAAACCUCGCAACGGGAACGUGACGGCGGCCACUGCCGUAAAACAACCCAAUUUUAUUAGAGUUGACCUCGAAUCAGGUAGGAAUACCCGCUGAACUUAAGCAUAUCAAUAAGCGGAGGA